UAUGUGAGAUGGCUGAAUUAUAAGCGGUAAAUUGUAAAUUUAUUUAUGGGGUUCCCUCUCGUAA
This 64-nucleotide transfer RNA is filed under the name Perna perna. Its description in RNAcentral is "tRNA-Tyr". Lineage: Eukaryota; Metazoa; Mollusca; Bivalvia; Mytilida; Mytilidae. The record is from RNAcentral.